This 370-nucleotide ribosomal RNA is filed under the name uncultured organism. RNAcentral's name for it is "partial 16S ribosomal RNA". It matches the Rfam family "Bacterial small subunit ribosomal RNA", at positions 527 to 896 of the family's 1533-position model. The record is from RNAcentral.
AGAGGGUGCGAGCGUUAAUCGGAAUUACUGGGCGUAAAGAGCACGUAGGUGGAUAAGUAAGUUAGAUGUGAAAGGCCUGGGCUUAACUCGGGUUUGUCAUUUAAUACUGCUUGUCUAGAGUAUGGUAGAGGAAAGUGGAAUUUCCGGUGUAGCGGUGAAAUGCGUAGAUAUCGGAAGGAACACCAGUGGCGAAGGCGACUUUCUGGACUAAUACUGACACUGAGGUGCGAAAGCGUGGGGAGCGAACAGGAUUAGAUACCCUGGUAGUCCACGCCGUAAACGAUGAAAACUAGCCGUUGGUAUCUUUAAGAUAUUAGUGGCGCAGCUAACGCGUUAAGUUUUCCGCCUGGGGAGUACGGCCGCAAGGUUA